CCUACGGGUGGCUGCAGUCGGGAAUAUUGCGCAAUGGAGGAAACUCUGACGCAGUGACGCCGCGUGCAGGAAGAAGGUUUUCGGAUUGUAAACUGCUUUAGACAGGGAAGAAAAAAGACAGUACCUGUAGAAUAAGCUCCGGUUAACUACGUGCCAGCAGCCGCGGUAAUCCGUAGGGCGCAAGCGUUAUCCGGAUUUAUUGGGUGUAAAGGGUGCGUAGACGGAGUAUCAAGUUAGUUGUGAAAUCCCUCGGCUUAACUGAGGAACUGCAACUAAAACUGCUUGCCUUGAGUGCUGGAGAGGAAGGUGGAAUUCCUGGUGUAGCGGUGAAAUGCGUAGAUAUUAGGAGGAACACCAGUGGCGAAGGCGACUUUCUGGACAGUAACUGACGUUGAGGCACGAAAGUGUGGGGAGCAAACAGGAUUAGAUACCCUGGUAGUC
Molecule: ribosomal RNA, 441 nt
Filed under: uncultured bacterium
Lineage: Bacteria
Description: partial 16S ribosomal RNA
Rfam family: Bacterial small subunit ribosomal RNA
Source: RNAcentral